ACUAGCNGUAAGAGUUUUAUUCAUGGCGUCAGAACGAACGACUGCGGCAUGCCUAACACAUGCAAGUCGAACGAGGACCUUCGGGUCUAGUGGCGCACGGGUGCGUAACGCGUGGGAAUCUGCCCUUGGGUUCGGGAUAACAGUUGGAAACGACUGCUAAUACCGGAUGAUGACUUCGGUCCAAAGAUUUAUCGCCCAGGGAUGAGCCCGCGUAGGAUUAGCUUGUUGGUGAGGUAAAAGCUCACCAAGGCGACGAUCCUUAGCUGGUCUGAGAGGAUGAUCAGCCACACUGGGACUGAGACACGGCCCAGACUCCUACGGGAGGCAGCAGUGGGGAAUAUUGGACAAUGGGCGAAAGCCUGAUCCAGCAAUGCCGCGUGAGUGAUGAAGGCCUUAGGGUUGUAAAGCUCUUUUACCCGGGAAGAUAAUGACUGUACCGGGAGAAUAAGCCCCGGCUAACUCCGUGCCAGCCGCCGCGGUAAUAC
Molecule: ribosomal RNA, 485 nt
Filed under: uncultured bacterium
Lineage: Bacteria
Description: bacterial SSU rRNA
Rfam family: Bacterial small subunit ribosomal RNA
Source: RNAcentral